This 254-nucleotide ribosomal RNA is filed under the name uncultured bacterium. RNAcentral's name for it is "partial 16S ribosomal RNA". It matches the Rfam family "Bacterial small subunit ribosomal RNA", at positions 524 to 776 of the family's 1533-position model. The record is from RNAcentral.
GACGAACCGUGCGAACGUUAUUCGGAAUCACUGGGCUCAAAGCGCGUGUAGGUGGGGCGGCACGUCGGUCGCUGAAAUCCCCCGGCUUAACCGGGGAACGGGCGCCGAUACGACCGCCCUUGAGGGGCGUAGGGGGGGCUGGAACUUCCGGUGGAGCGGUGAAAUGCGUUGAGAUCGGAAGGAACGCCCGUGGCGAAAGCGAGCCCCUGGACGUCAUCUGACACUGAGACGCGAAAGCCAGGGGAGCGAACGGG